UAUAAAUAUCCACAUAUGAACGUACAUCAUCAAGUAUACAACUCAUUCAAGAAAAUAUGUCAGAUAUAUCAUCAGUUUAAAUUUUUUGUUCAAUAGUGAUUUUAUAUAUAUUAUCUUCCAUUAUUAACUAGAUUUCUAAUAACUAAAUAUCUUUCUGAUUUGGACUAUCCACGGUCGUACUUCGAGCUGUGACUGACAAAUCUUAAUUCUAUGCUUCAACCCAAGGUGGCAAACCAUAACACUGCGCUUCAGCUCGUGGUGGCAAACCAAGAUAUCCGUGCUUUGGCCCAUGGCGGCAAACCAAAAUAUCCGUACUUUGGCCUAUAGUGGCAAAACAAUGUGUCAUAAUUCGGCCCAUGACGGGCAAUCUAUGGCAUGUCUAAUACAAAUAUUUUCAUCCAGCAAUUACAUUAUUCAAUUUCAUCCAUGCUAGAGAAAAUAUAAAUUCAUAUUAUAUUCCUUGCCAAAUUCCAAAAUAAGUAGCAUCAUAUUCCAAACAACCAAAAUCAUAGUCCAAGCAACCAAAAUCAUCGAUAUUUGAAAUGUUUGUUUAAUAAAAAAUAUAUAUUUUUUAUAUAUUCAUAUAAGAGAUUGUCAAUAAUCAUGCAGCAAAUAAUGCAAAAUUCAAGAUCAUCAACACAUGUUACAAAAUACAUAUUAUUCAUAUAGGUGACUGUGUACAAGAUUUCUUAUCUCUACCGGUCUCAAACUCAA
RNAcentral lists this long non-coding RNA (714 nucleotides) under Phoenix dactylifera (date palm). RNAcentral describes it as "long non-coding RNA (PDAC_LNC002621)". Lineage: Eukaryota; Viridiplantae; Streptophyta; Magnoliopsida; Arecales; Arecaceae. The record is from RNAcentral.